RNAcentral lists this transfer RNA (94 nucleotides) under Halanaerobiaceae bacterium. Its description in RNAcentral is "tRNA-Ser". It matches the Rfam family "tRNA". Rfam says of the family: Transfer RNA (tRNA) molecules are approximately 80 nucleotides in length. Their secondary structure includes four short double-helical elements and three loops (D, anti-codon, and T loops). Further hydrogen bonds mediate the characteristic L-shaped molecular structure. tRNAs have two regions of fundamental functional importance: the anti-codon, which is responsible for specific mRNA codon recognition, and the 3' end, to which the tRNAs corresponding amino acid is attached (by aminoacyl-tRNA synthetases). tRNAs cope with the degeneracy of the genetic code in two manners: having more than one tRNA (with a specific anti-codon) for a particular amino acid; and 'wobble' base-pairing, i.e. permitting non-standard base-pairing at the 3rd anti-codon position. Lineage: Bacteria; Bacillati; Bacillota; Clostridia; Halanaerobiales; Halanaerobiaceae. The record is from RNAcentral.
GGAAGGGUGGGUGAGUCUGGCUGAAACCGCUCGACUCGAAAUCGAGUAGACAUACAAAAAUGUCUCGAGGGUUCAAAUCCCUCCCCUUCCGCCA